This is a long non-coding RNA of Rosa rugosa (rugosa rose), 729 nucleotides long. RefSeq lists it as uncharacterized. The record is from RefSeq and is a predicted model, not a curated record. The transcript has 3 exons. NCBI's taxonomy places the organism in Eukaryota, Viridiplantae, Streptophyta, Magnoliopsida, Rosales, Rosaceae.
CCGUCGGGUCACUUGCACCAGCAGUGUGCAAGUCACGUGUGCUAACAGACGUUGCUGGUCGUUGGUUAGUGAACAAUAGUCAAACGCAGACCAAAAAAAAUCGUAGUGCAGUAAAAGCCAAAUUUACCACAAGCCAAAUUUCUCUCUGGGCGCUGGGCAUCUCGACCGUCUUCCUCACUUUCUCUCAAAACCCAGAACGACUCUGCUGCGUUUCCAUUUUUGGCGGGUCCUCUUCACAAAUCACAAUUGGUUCCACUCAAAUUGAAUAUGUGGGUUUCGGAUUCAAUACCGAAUCCGGAGUUCUUCUUAGCAUUCACCCCACGGAGCUCAAAUUCCCUUGCAAUGGAUAAAGUUUAAACGAUGUAUUCAUGCUACCUGAAGGACAACUUAAAAAGAUUGGAGAUAGAGGUUGAUAAAUAUGCAGAGGACUUGUGCAGGGAAAGGAGAAGACUGCUGGAGAUUAAAAGGUGGCAGUUUGCAUAUGUAUCUUCCCAGCGAUCUUAUUCCUUUCAAAAAUAGAUGCGAUGUCAGUUGUAUAAUAUAAUAAAGUGAACUCAUGCUAAGGGUUUAAGAUAUGUAACCAGCCAAUCAAGAUCCAAUGUGUUAAGUGUAAAAGUUGCAAUUCUGAGUAUUUUGGCUUUCAAGGAGAGUUACAGAAAAUGGGAUUCUGAUGUUGUAUUCUGUGUGAAAUUUAAGUUCUAGUCAUUGAUAGAGUUCUUGUAAACUCCA